AACGAACGCUGGCGGCAGGCCUAACACAUGCAAGUCGAGCGCCCCGCAAGGGGAGCGGCGGACGGGUGAGUAACGCGUGGGAACGUACCCUUUGCUACGGAAUAGCCUCGGGAAACUGGGAGUAAUACCGUAUGUGUCCUUCGGGAGAAAGAUUUAUCGGCAAGGGAUCGGCCCGCGUUGGAUUAGGUAGUUGGUGGGGUAAUGGCCUACCAAGCCGACGAUCCAUAGCUGGUUUGAGAGGAUGAUCAGCCACACUGGGACUGAGACACGGCCCAGACUCCCACGGGAGGCAGCAGUGGGGAAUCUUAGACAAUGGGCGCAAGCCUGAUCUAGCCAUGCCGCGUGAGCGAUGAAGGCCUUAGGGUUGUAAAGCUCUUUCAGGGGGGAAGAUAAUGACUGUACCCCCAGAAGAAGCCCCGGCUAACUCCGUG
This 431-nucleotide ribosomal RNA is filed under the name uncultured bacterium. Its description in RNAcentral is "partial 16S ribosomal RNA". It matches the Rfam family "Bacterial small subunit ribosomal RNA", at positions 29 to 507 of the family's 1533-position model. The record is from RNAcentral.